Aricia agestis (brown argus) is the source of this 227-nucleotide long non-coding RNA. RefSeq lists it as uncharacterized. NCBI's taxonomy places the organism in Eukaryota, Metazoa, Arthropoda, Insecta, Lepidoptera, Lycaenidae. The transcript is spliced from 3 exons. The record is from RefSeq and is a predicted model, not a curated record.
UUCUCCCACACUCGGAGGGUAUGUGGGAGAAGCUCUCCAAAGUUCCGAAGUGGACAUGCCGCCAUCGCCGGCAAUGUUCCUGGAAUGUGGAAACACGACGCCAUCCAGCUCGUCGCGUCGAACUUCCCCGCCUUCGCCUGCAAUGUUUCUUCAAUGUGGAGAAACGAUGCCAAGGACACCAUCAAGGUCACAAGUGCGUCGUCACUCUCGUCAGGUCUUAAAUGAUC